AGCAAAGCAAAGAGGUUCAGUGGAAAAGGCUUUAGCAGUUUCAAAAUUGGCUAUAUUUUUGUGAUGAGAAGAAGAAAUUAUUGGGCUGCAAAGGAAGUCAAAAGUGAGUCUCCUUUCAUUGGCCCCCUGUCCUCUGUGAAAACAACCCAAAUAUUAUAUUAUUGUUAGUAGAAAGAACCCAUUACAUUUGUUAAUAUUCUUUUAAAUGAAUUCAUAUCUCUAUCA
Camellia sinensis is the source of this 225-nucleotide non-coding RNA. Lineage: Eukaryota; Viridiplantae; Streptophyta; Magnoliopsida; Ericales; Theaceae. The record is from RefSeq and is a predicted model, not a curated record.